RNAcentral lists this ribosomal RNA (484 nucleotides) under uncultured bacterium. RNAcentral's name for it is "partial 16S ribosomal RNA". It matches the Rfam family "Bacterial small subunit ribosomal RNA", at positions 30 to 507 of the family's 1533-position model. The record is from RNAcentral.
AUUGAACGCUGGCGGCAGGCCUAACACAUGCAAGUCGAGCGGAUGAAGGGAGCUUGCUCCUGGAUUCAGCGGCGGACGGGUGAGUAAUGCCUAGGAAUCUGCCUGGUAGUGGGGGAUAACGUCCGGAAACGGGCGCUAAUACCGCAUACGUCCUGAGGGAGAAAGUGGGGGAUCUUCGGACCUCACGCUAUCAGAUGAGCCUAGGUCGGAUUAGCUAGUUGGUGGGGUAAAGGCCUACCAAGGCGACGAUCCGUAACUGGUCUGAGAGGAUGAUCAGUUACACUGGAACUGAGACACGGUCCAGACUCCUACGGGAGGCAGCAGUGGGGAAUAUUGGACAAUGGGCGAAAGCCUGAUCCAGCCAUGCCGCGUGUGUGAAGAAGGUCUUCGGAUUGUAAAGCACUUUAAGUUGGGAGGAAGGGCAGUAAGUUAAUACCUUGCUGCUUUGACGUUACCAACAGAAUAAGCACCGGCUAACUUCGUG